GACGAACGCUGGCGGCGUGCUUAACACAUGCAAGUCGAACGGAAAGGCCCUGCUUUUGUGGGGUGCUCGAGUGGCGAACGGGUGAGUAACACGUGAGUAACCUGCCCUUGACUUUGGGAUAACUUCAGGAAACUGGGGCUAAUACCGGAUAGGAGCUCCUGCUGCAUGGUGGGGGUUGGAAAGUUUCGGCGGUUGGGGAUGGACUCGCGGCUUAUCAGCUUGUUGGUGGGGUAGUGGCUUACCAAGGCUUUGACGGGUAGCCGGCCUGAGAGGGUGACCGGCCACAUUGGGACUGAGAUACGGCCCAGGCUCCUACGGGAGGCAGCAGUGGGGAAUAUUGCACAAUGGGCGGAAGCCUGAUGCAGCAACGCCGCGUGCGGGAUGACGGCCUUCGAGUUGUAAACCGCUUUCGCCUGUGACGAAGCGUGAGUGACGGUAAUGGGUAAAGAAGCACCGGCUAACUACGUG
This 468-nucleotide ribosomal RNA is filed under the name uncultured bacterium. RNAcentral's name for it is "partial 16S ribosomal RNA". It matches the Rfam family "Bacterial small subunit ribosomal RNA", at positions 28 to 507 of the family's 1533-position model. The record is from RNAcentral.